GCCCGAGUGGCGGAAUUGGUAGACGCGCAUGGUUGAGGGCCAUGUUCCCGUUACAGGGAGUGGAGGUUCGAGUCCUCUCUCGGGCACCG
Molecule: transfer RNA, 89 nt
Filed under: Bacteroidetes bacterium SW_9_63_38
Lineage: Bacteria; Pseudomonadati; Bacteroidota
Description: tRNA-Leu
Rfam family: tRNA
About the family: Transfer RNA (tRNA) molecules are approximately 80 nucleotides in length. Their secondary structure includes four short double-helical elements and three loops (D, anti-codon, and T loops).
Source: RNAcentral